GCCCUCAUAACUCAGUGGUAGAGUGUUGGAUUGCAGUUAGCCGAAUACGGCUGAGCUACCAUCCACAAGUCCGUUGUUCGAAUCAGCGUGGGGGCU
Xylona heveae TC161 is the source of this 96-nucleotide transfer RNA. It matches the Rfam family "tRNA". Rfam says of the family: Transfer RNA (tRNA) molecules are approximately 80 nucleotides in length. Their secondary structure includes four short double-helical elements and three loops (D, anti-codon, and T loops). NCBI's taxonomy places the organism in Eukaryota, Fungi, Ascomycota, Xylonomycetes, Xylonales, Xylonaceae. The record is from Rfam.